This 831-nucleotide ribosomal RNA is filed under the name uncultured Eikenella sp. Its description in RNAcentral is "bacterial SSU rRNA". It matches the Rfam family "Bacterial small subunit ribosomal RNA", at positions 30 to 850 of the family's 1533-position model. Lineage: Bacteria; Pseudomonadati; Pseudomonadota; Betaproteobacteria; Neisseriales; Neisseriaceae. The record is from RNAcentral.
UGAACGCUGGCGGCAUGCUUUACACAUGCAAGUCGAACGGCAGCGGGGUAGUGCUUGCACUACUGCCGGCGAGUGGCGAACGGGUGAGUAAUAUAUCGGAACGUACCGAGUAAUGGGGGAUAACCAAUCGAAAGAUUGGCUAAUACCGCAUACGUCCUAAGGGAGAAAGCGGGGGAUCGCAAGACCUCGCGUUAUUCGAGCGGCCGAUAACUGAUUAGCUAGUUGGUGGGGUAAAGGCCCACCAAGGCGACGAUCAGUAGCGGGUCUGAGAGGACGAUCCGCCACACUGGGACUGAGACACGGCCCAGACUCCUACGGGAGGCAGCAGUGGGGAAUUUUGGACAAUGGGGGCAACCCUGAUCCAGCCAUGCCGCGUGUAUGAAGAAGGCCUUCGGGUUGUAAAGUACUUUUGUUAGGGAAGAAAAGGGAAGUGCUAAUACCACUUUUUGCUGACGGUACCUAAAGAAUAAGCACCGGCUAACUACGUGCCAGCAGCCGCGGUAAUACGUAGGGUGCAAGCGUUAAUCGGAAUUACUGGGCGUAAAGCGAGCGCAGACGGUUACUUAAGCAGGAUGUGAAAUCCCCGGGCUUAACCUGGGAACUGCGUUCUGAACUGGGUAGCUAGAGUAUGUCAGAGGGGGGUAGAAUUCCACGUGUAGCAGUGAAAUGCGUAGAGAUGUGGAGGAAUACCGAUGGCGAAGGCAGCCCCCUGGGAUAAUACUGACGUUCAUGCUCGAAAGCGUGGGUAGCAAACAGGAUUAGAUACCCUGGUAGUCCACGCCCUAAACGAUGUCGAUUAGCUGUUGGGCAACUUGAUUGCUUAGUAGCGUA